GACGAACGCUGGCGGCGUGCUUAACACAUGCAAGUCGAACGGAAAGGCCCUGCUUUUGUGGGGUGCUCGAGUGGCGAACGGGUGAGUAACACGUGAGUAACCUGCCCUUGACUUUGGGAUAACUUCAGGAAACUGGGGCUAAUACCGGAUAGGAGCUCCUGCUGCAUGGUGGGGGUUGGAAAGUUUCGGCGGUUGGGGAUGGACUCGCGGCUUAUCAGCUUGUUGGUGGGGUAGUGGCUUACCAAGGCUUUGACGGGUAGCCGGCCUGAGAGGGCGACCGGCCACAUUGGGACUGAGAUACGGCCCAGACUCCUACGGGAGGCAGCAGUGGGGAAUAUUGCACAAUGGGCGGAAGCCUGAUGCAGCAACGCCGCGUGCGGGAUGACGGCCUUCGGGUUGUAAACCGCUUUCGCCUGUGACGAAGCGUGAGUGACGGUAAUGGGUAAAGAAGCACCGGCUAACUACGUGCCAGCAGCCGCGGUGAUACGUAGGGUGCGAGCGUUGUCCGGAUUUAUUGGGCGUAAAGGGCUCGUAGGUGGUUGAUCGCGUCGGAAGUGUAAUCUUGGGGCUUAACCCUGAGCGUGCUUUCGAUACGGGUUGACUUGAGGAAGGUAGGGGAGAAUGGAAUUCCUGGUGGAGCGGUGGAAUGCGCAGAUAUCAGGAGGAACACCAGUGGCGAAGGCGGUUCUCUGGGCCUUUCCUGACGCUGAGGAGCGAAAGCGUGGGGAGCGAACAGGCUUAGAUACCCUGGUAGUCCACGCUGUAAACGGUGGGUACUAGGUGUGGGGUCCAUUCCACGGGUUCCGUGCCGUAGCUAACGCUUUAAGUACCCCGCCUGGGGAGUACGGCCGCAAGGCUAAAACUCAAAGGAAUUGACGGGGCCCCGCACAAGCGGCGGAGCAUGCGGAUUAAUUCGAUGCAACGCGUAGAACCUUACCUGGGUUUGACAUGGAUCGGGAGUGCUCAGAGAUGGGUGUGCCUCUUUUGGGGUCGGUUCACAGGUGGUGCAUGCCUGUCGUCAGCUCGUGUCGUGAGAUGUUGGGUUAAGUCCCGCAACGAGCGCAACCCUUGUUCACUGUUGCCAGCACGUUAUGGUGGGGACUCAGUGGAGACCGCCGGGGUCAACUCGGAGGAAGGUGGGGAUGACGUCAAGUCCUCAUGCCCCUUAUGUCCAGGGCUUCACGCAUGCUACAAUGGCUGGUACAGAGAGUGGCGAGCCUGUGAGGGUGAGCGAAUCUCGGAAAGCCGGUCUCAGUUCGGAUUGGGGUCUGCAACUCGACCUCAUGAAGUCGGAGUCGCUAGUAAUCGCAGAUCAGCAACGCUGCGGCGAAUACGUUCCCGGG
This 1343-nucleotide ribosomal RNA is filed under the name uncultured bacterium. RNAcentral describes it as "16S ribosomal RNA". It matches the Rfam family "Bacterial small subunit ribosomal RNA", at positions 28 to 1378 of the family's 1533-position model. The record is from RNAcentral.